Equus caballus (horse) is the source of this 2701-nucleotide non-coding RNA. The record is from RefSeq and is a predicted model, not a curated record. Lineage: Eukaryota; Metazoa; Chordata; Mammalia; Perissodactyla; Equidae.
CCGUGCGGAAAGCGCCACGCAGCAGAAGGGUCGGCGGCGCGCAAGCCCUGUCGGCUCCGGCGGCCCGAGCGCCCACGGGCGCGGACGAGGCGUCCUCGCAGAGGGGAGGCAGGGAAUGGCGGCCGGACCCCAGCCUUCCUCAGCCGGGGCGCGCCGCCAUGCCGGCCGGGGCUCGCGCUCCCGCGGACGCUCUCUCUCCGGAACCGACGUGCGGGGACGCCGGGGACGCGGGGCCUGGGACGGACCGCCGGCCGGAAGUGACGCGUGACUGGGCGCGCAGGCGCCGUCCGGGACCGGCGGUGGGGGCUGCCAUGGCGCACAUCACCAUCAACCAGUACCUGCAGCAGGUCUACGAAGCAAUCGACACCCGAGAUGGGGCGUCCUGUGCAGAGCUGGUGUCUUUCAAGCAUCCUCAUGUUGCCAACCCACGGCUUCAGAUGGCCUCUCCAGAAGAGAAGUGUCAACAGGUUUUGGAACCCCCUUAUGAUGAAAUGUUUGCCGCUCAUUUACGGUGCACUUACGCGGUGGGGAACCAUGACUUCAUAGAGGCGUACAAAUGUCAGACUGUCAUCGUCCAGUCGUUCCUGCGGGCAUUUCAGGCUCACAAAGAAGAGAACUGGGCUCUGCCUGUCAUGUAUGCGGUGGCACUUGACCUUCGAGUAUUUGCCAAUAACGCAGAUCAGCAGUUGGUGAAGAAAGGAAAAAGCAAAGUCGGGGACAUGUUGGAAAAGGCAGCUGAAUUGUUGAUGAGCUGUUUCCGCGUCUGUGCCAGUGACACUCGCGCUGGUAUAGAGGAUUCUAAGAAGUGGGGGAUGCUGUUUCUGGUGAAUCAGUUAUUCAAGAUUUACUUUAAGAUCAACAAGCUCCAUCUGUGCAAACCCCUAAUCCGAGCCAUCGACAGCUCCAACCUGAGAGACGAUUACAGCACCGCGCAGAGGGUGACGUACAGGUACUACGUUGGGCGGAAGGCUAUGUUCGAUAGUGACUUUAAGCAAGCGGAGGAGUACCUGUCCUUCGCCUUUGAGCACUGCCACCGCUCCAGUCAGAAGAACAAAAGGAUGAUUCUGAUAUACCUGCUUCCAGUGAAAAUGCUGCUGGGUCAUAUGCCAACCAUUGAGCUCUUGAAAAAGUACCAUCUCAUGCAGUUUGCUGAAGUGACCAAAGCUGUAAGCGAAGGCAAUCUCCUCCUGCUGAACGAGGCUCUCACAAAGCACGAGACCUUCUUCAUUCGCUGUGGCAUUUUCCUCAUCCUCGAGAAGCUGAAGAUCAUCACCUACAGGAACCUUUUUAAGAAAGUGUACCUGUUGCUCAGAACACACCAGCUGUCUCUGGACGCCUUUCUGGUUGCCUUGAAAUUCAUGCAAGUGGAAGACGUGGACAUCGACGAGGUCCAGUGUAUUCUGGCCAACCUGAUUUACAUGGGUCACAUUAAAGGCUAUAUCUCCCAUCAGCACCAGAAGCUGGUCGUCAGCAAGCAGAACCCCUUCCCUCCACUGUCCACAGUGUGUUGAUGCGCAGCCCUGAGGAGGGAGCCCAGUGCUCCUCCUGUUUCCAGUCACGCGGACGGAAUCAGUCCUGGGCCGAGACGUCCUCUGCAGCUGCAUCUCGUGGGCUCUUUCUCAGGGAUGCUGAGGCUGGGUCUGCCAGCACACGGAUCCCGUGAAAUCUCCACCCUCGCUCAUAGGUGAUGUCAGCCUCACGGAGACCUGGAGUUCCUUUUCAGAAAACGCAGACGCCUCCAUUGGCUCUGGAGGCGAAGCAAACCACGCCUGAGGGCAGGCGGCGUUCUCGGCGCUAGUCGGCUAGUCUCGCGGUCAAGCGCAGUGGAGCCCAGGGCCAAUUUCUCAUCUAGAAGGUAAGAAGCAAGUUCCAAGGGUAAUUUUCAACUCUAUAUCCUACUAGGCUAGUUAAUUAUUCUCUUUUUCCAAGUUUUUUCUUUAAAUACCAUACCUUAGUUCAAUUAAUAACUUCAGAACUUUUUUAUUGUACCAUAGUAAAGAUCUCAUCGUAUCAGCUUGCCCAAAUCCAUGUGUCUGCAAACGUGUCUGAGCUGUACCCGGAGAAGCUUGCCUCCCAGGUCGUGGCCCCUUGCCCCAUGGAAGCCAGCACUAAUUCAGAUUCAAAUGGCAGCUGCGGGUCCUGAGUGCACAGGGGGACUGAAGACAGCGCGCUUGGCAGAGCUGGAGCACCAUCGUCAUUCCUGAAGGCUAGGCCACACACAGUCACCCCUCCUUCAGCCCCCCUGAGGGGCCGACAGUGAUGAGAAGAAUGCUCCCGGGGUGUAGCCAGGUCAUUCUGGGUAUAAACAGGUGUUUACCUCCCCUCAGUCUCCGUUUGAGUCUGGAGGACCACAGGAGUCACUGAGCUCUGUCGGGUCCGUCCAUCCAGGCCUCCAUCCAGCGGCCAAAUGAUUCUGACGGCCAGACUGGCUUGUAAGUAUCAGGGUGUUCCACACACGCACACAGCCCCUCCCCAAAGGAACCUCGUAAAGCUCUGCUGUCCGAUACGGAAAGUCAUGUGGUUACAGAGCAUUUGCAAUGUGACUGGUCCAAACUAGGAUAUGCUCCAAGGGUACAAUACAGUCCAGAUGUCAGAGAUUUAGUAUGAAGAAAACAUGUAAAUAUCCCAAUUUUUCAUGUUCACUACGUGUUGAAAUAAUAUUUGGAUAUAUUGGGGUAAAUAAAAUACUUAUCAAAAUUCA